GCAACCCAGUGUGACGCGCCUCGGGGUUGCCAUGUACCUUAAUUAAACCGCGCGUGCACCUAGAACUAAAAAACGAAUCACAUUCAUAUCAAUGGGGUAUGGAUCGGACCCGUUAAGGGAUAAAAUCUCAGGUAACUAAAGCGGAAAUGUAAUGAUAUGGUAACAGUGAUAAUGACACGAUGCAGAGUGUAGUUUGAUUUCAUGAAAAGACGCGCAUGUCAACAUGCCUGACGUCAUGAACCCGGUUUCUGAAUUUCAAGUUUGCCGCGAGAAGGAUGUGUGUAGUUUUCACCAGUGUGAACAAAGUUUUUGACGGAUACAUGAACACACUGAUGGCUACUCCAAACUCCAGCAUGGGAAGCGGCUCCAGAGGUGUGAUAUUUGAGUGUCUGUGGAGGCCUUUGAGAAGAGUCUGGAGACUCCUGCGCUGCUGUGGACCUGAUCAACCUGAAAUCAAACUUUCAGUGGAAGAAACCUCACCACAUUUUAGUGGCCGUAGCUCUGUCCGUCCGUGGUGAAGAUCCUCAAGCUGUUUACCUUCACCGAGCUGAGAUGAUAAUUUUGAAUGAAUUGCUGCCCAGCCAGAAAACAGAGUUCUUGGACCUAGUUUUAAACCCAAGUUUAAAUACUGAGAAGAUGGAUAUACUUCCUCUUAAAUCAUCUGCCCUGCUGUACAACUUGUCCACUUGACCGCCACACUGACAUGGAAUGGAUUUCUACUUCCAGAAUGUAAUGUGUAACAACCAAGGUACUUUGUCAUUACUGCCUACUCAGGGGAUCACACUUUGCGCAAACUUCUCAUUGGUUGUCUCCUCAAACCUCUGGACACCAUGAUCUUCUUUUUUGCCAAACUGACAAAGACAGUAGUGCGCAAACAGACCUAAGUUGGUUGGUUUAAGUCCAUGCAAGGAUGCAUUAGAUCAUUAGCUGGCCAACUUGAACAUAAUGAAGCACUAUACCAAUUAAGUGUCCUUAGAUUUUAGACUGGUACUGUUGUUUUAAGUAUUGUCUAAAAGCUGUGCAUAAAUUUUUAUAUACAUAAAUCAUGAUCCAUCCAUAGCAUCAAAUUUCUUUCUUUUUUUUUUUUUGUUUUUUUUUUUAAGUACAUUUGCAAAGUUUUUGCACCAACUUUAUUUACUCUGAUGAGAAUGCACCUCUACAGGACAAGGUGAGGUUGACAUUCAUUAUGAAUCUGGCAAGAAUUUUGUGUGAACUUUAUGCACUAAAAAUGGCAGCAAAUUAUUAGUGACUGUGGCCUUAUAUCUUUUGGUAUGUUUCCAUUAGGUUUUGUGCUAGUCAGUUCUCCACAAGGUAGUUAAUGAUUGUAUCUAGUACUUAUAAUGGUUUCUUACAAUGGAUUGUACCAAUACUGAUGGAUUUUUCAUGCUGUCCUUCUUGAACCUCUUAAGCCAGAAACACACUGCACGAUUUCAUUAGUUCUGUAAGAGCACUGCAUGUCACACUGUGUGACAUGGAUCUAAUAAACUUGGCUACGACGUGUGUAGACUGUACGAUGAUAAC
Molecule: long non-coding RNA, 1521 nt
Organism: Carassius carassius (crucian carp)
Lineage: Eukaryota; Metazoa; Chordata; Actinopteri; Cypriniformes; Cyprinidae
Exons: 4
Source: RefSeq, a predicted model, not a curated record